AUGGAUUAUCUGACCUCCAGAUGCAGGCAGAACAGAGACAGAAGACCCAAGACCCGGCCCAGAACACACCACAAACCAGCAGGGAGCAGACAGAGUCUGACCAACACCAACUCCAAGAUAGAAGACUGGAUCUCCUCAGAUAUGGACCCCAGCAAGAGCAAAGGUACAGACAGUGUGGAGUCGGACCGGUCUGGGAUCAUGCUGCCAUUCCACAGUACACCACUAGGUGGCAGGAGAGGAAGCAGCAAGCCCUACUCCUGCUCAGAUGGACCAGUGAAACCCCAGAGCAGAAAACCCUUGAAUACAGCAUCAGAGGAGAACCGUUCUCUGGAGACCUCCAAUCUCACCCAUCCCAGUCCUCCAGCACUCUGGCACUCAUACAAGAACUUCAGCUACAGAUCUCCACCACCACCAGGUGACAUGGAGAAUGUCUACUCUAAGGGCAGGUAUCCUCUCUCCUCUCAGCCUCUACAGAAGCCUCUGUUGCAAGUCAACUAUGGCUCCUCCUGCAGUUUACCUGCAGGUUUCAAAGUGCGAGAGCAGCAGUCUGUCUCCCACCACCGGAGGCGCUCUACCCAGUCAGACUCAGCACUGCUGCCCAGCAACGUGUACUUUCAGCAGACCUUUCCCCCAGCUCUCAGCCCCCCCAGGACUGGGGUCAUAGCCAGCAGGCACAAAGUCAGCAGGGUGAGCCUGUCCACAUGGAAAACAUUCUUUCAUAUCAAUGGGUGCCAGUAA
Molecule: long non-coding RNA, 738 nt
Organism: Oncorhynchus mykiss (rainbow trout)
Lineage: Eukaryota; Metazoa; Chordata; Actinopteri; Salmoniformes; Salmonidae
Source: Ensembl